CAAGAAUAACACCAUGAGCAGUAAAGGAGCGUGUGCGAUGGCGUGUGAUCGAAGGCCGGUAAGCUCACAGGAGGGCGUCACAGGUGUGGGGCGUGUGUGAUGGCGUGUGAUCGAAGGCCGGUAAGCUCACAGGAGGGCGCCACAGGUGUGGAGCGUGUGCGAUGGCAUGUGAUCGAAGGCCUGUGAGCUCACAGGAGUGUGCCACAGGUGUGGGGCGUGUGCGAUGGCGUGUGAUUGAAGGCCGGUAAGCUCACAGGAGGGCGCCACAGGUGUGGGGCGUGUGCGAUGGCGUGUGAUCGAAGGCCGGUAAGCUCACAGGAGUGUGCCACAGGUGUGGGGCGUGUGCGAUGGCGUGUGAUCGAAGGCCUGUAAGCUCACAGGAGUGCGUCACAGG
RNAcentral lists this long non-coding RNA (394 nucleotides) under Homo sapiens (human). RNAcentral's name for it is "non-protein coding lnc-TMEM121B-3:2". Lineage: Eukaryota; Metazoa; Chordata; Mammalia; Primates; Hominidae. The record is from RNAcentral.